Molecule: long non-coding RNA, 2300 nt
Organism: Bombina bombina (fire-bellied toad)
Lineage: Eukaryota; Metazoa; Chordata; Amphibia; Anura; Bombinatoridae
Exons: 4
Source: RefSeq, a predicted model, not a curated record
AUUUAUUAUAUAUUAUAUGGUGCAGCUCUUCAGUUCGUAGCUGGUUGCAGAAGUAUGUCCUUUUCUUUCCGUGGCGCUGGUAUUGUGAUGUAGUCUAGCAGGGCGUCUAGAGGAAAACCCGGGCACUGGGCUAUUAAAUGUGAAGGAACAGGAUGAGACAGAUGACAUGAAUAGUCAUCAGACUGAAAUACAUUGGUCCCUCCCUGCCGACGCAGAUAACGCUGAUAUAGUGAAAGUUGAGAUAACAGAAGAUCUGUACACGUGUGAUCAGGUGAAGACUGAGGAGGAUGAAGUUCCUAUAAAUACGGCUACAGGCUGGAAAAUCACACUCACUAUGUAAGGAAUGUGUUGGUGAGAACUGGGUGGAGCCUAGCAGCACACACGGAUGGAUGUGUGAGAGCUGAGCUCCGGUAUGUGAUACAGCAAAAUAGGUGGAUAAUGCCGAACAGAUGCAUACCAAGAGGCUAAGAAGGCACUAAGGUUGGUGGCACAGUUCCCGGCUAUAGUCCUGAGAGGAAAAUCUCCAAGAAAAAGGGAAGAAAAUCGCCUGAUAGCACUCUUGCACAGAACGAAUAUAUACAGUGGAGGCCACGCGCAGCUAACUUAAAUCUAUCUCGGAGCAGAACAGGAGUGACUGUUGAUGGUUCCGGCUACAUUGAUCGAUAUGACACCAAGAUGCAAAGCCCAUACAAGAGGUAACCGGGUUUACAGGGAACACAAACCACAAGUGGGGGACACAAAACAAUAAUGGUGAAGCGUUACAGAAAGAGCGCCAAGAUACGCACAUAAACAUCUCUCAGGCUGGCAAGCUUAGUCUUUGGUGAUCAUUGAGACACUACUAUUUUUGAUUUUGCACACAACCAUGACUAUAAUACCUCAAUGAAAAGAUUACAGAUUGUGCAGAUACGGUAGUGAUGAUAUAUAAAGCAAGCUGCAGGAACUGCACACAUCAGCAGAAAGUAAACUGCCAUUGAAAAAACUGAACACCAUCACCGCUGGCAAUUAUGAUAAACCCCACUGAUGUUUCUGCAAAGGAGAACUGAGCCACAAAUGUAAUCCUGAUACAAUAAGCGGGACAUUGUCUCUCAGUAAGAAUAUCUGAGGGUAAAAAAUAUAUAUAUUAAUCAUUCUGCACAGAAACGAUUGAGAUAACCUGCACUCCUGGCCUGGUUCACAAUGUCUACCAGAAGGUUUCAGAAAACUGACAAACUCAUUAAGCUUACUUAUAUGGAUACAUUUCUUAGAUCCAAUGCAGCUCAUAAACAGCUAGAAACUACCUCAAUGGAGGCAGAAGAGGAUUCUGACUUAGAAUCUGAACAAAGCAAGCCUAUAGAUGAUCAAACACCGGUAACCAAAGCCGACCUCAGCAUGCUAGUGUCAAAGCAGGACAUUGCAUCAAAUUUUGAAAAACUCUGGGAUAAAAUUGAUAGUUUCCAUACCACAGUGACUAGCAGAUAUAAAAAAUGAGAUGCUUGAAAUGGGAAACAGGGUGGAAGCCCUAGAAAAUGACAAGGAAGAUAUUGAGGAAAAUGUAGCUGUCAUGUCGCAGACAAUCUCCCUCCAGCAACAACAAAUAGAUGACCUCCAAGACAAAAUGGAGGACAUUGAGAAUCGCACUAGGAGGUCGAAUCUCCGGAUAAAGGGUAUACCGGAAUCGAUUGGACCAGCUGACCUUUUGUCUUAUUUGCAAGGCCUCUUCAAAGCUAUCACAGUGGCUACGGAUGACACAGAAUACCAUAUCGAGAUAGCCCACAGAGCACUCGGGGCCAGACCGCAGAAAGAUAUGCCACCAAGGGAUGUAAUCAUCAAAUUCCUCAGGUUUCUUGAUAAAGAGAAAAUCUUGAAUGCAUCUCGGAAGAACCCCACGUUUAAAUACCAGGGGAAGGUGGUGCAAUUUUUUCAAGAUUUCUGCGUGAAAACACUGCAGCGACGAAGCAAACUUCGACCAUUAACCUCAUUGCUCAGAAAACGCCAGAUCACAUAUCGCUGGGGCUUUCCAUUUGCCCUUUACAUACUUAAAGAUGGUAAGAUAACUUCAAUCAAGACAAUACAGGAGAUUCCUGGGGUGUGCAGGACCCUAGGUAUAGAAACACCGGACAUACCGCCUGACCCCGAUCUCGGGGAGAAGAGAGGGACACAAACCUUAACACAUCCUCUCGAGAUCCAGUUGGAUAAAAGUGAAUAAUAAACGAUCCAAGACAUGAUACCUUAUCUGACUGGAACUUUACUGGAAACAGAUCGAAUUUGGGAGAUUGGUGAGACUCUCUUCUAAACACUAUCAGGGUUGUAUUUUAGAGACU